CCCCCCGAAUUGUAGUCUAGAAAGGCGCCAUCGGCCGCGACCUUCGCUAAAAUCCCUUGGAACAGGGUAUCGUAGAAGGUGAGAAUCCUGUGACGUGUGGGUUCGCGGCCGCACGAUGCGCUCUUGCAGAGUCGGGUUGCUUGGGAUUGCAGCUUGAAGUGGGUGGUAAAUUCCAUCUAAAGCUAAAUAUCGGCUCAUGACCGAUAGCGAACAAGUACCGUGAGGGAAAGAUGCAAAGAACUUUGAAAAGAGAGUUAAAGAGUGCUUGAAAUCGGCAAGAGGAAACCCGGUUGUGCCCGGUGUCGCGUGAUCGACCAGUCUUCUUUGUGGGAGGCGCAUCCGAGAGCGUGGGUCAGACGCAUCUCUGUGGGUGGCAUAACCGCUCGGUAGGGCUUCGGUGAGCCGAGUUUUCGCCACGCGCGGGGCAUCGUCUGACAUAACGGGCACCACCGACCCGUCUAGAAACACGGACCAAGGAGUCUAACAUGGGCGCGAGUACUCGGGUGACAAGCCUGCGUGCGCAGUGAAAGCAAAGGGCGUGCCCCGCCAACCGACCUUGAUCUUCUGUGAAGGGUUUGAGUGGAGCGUUCCUGUUAGGACCCGAAAGAUGGUGAACUAUGCCUGGAUAGGUUGAAGUCUGCUGAAAGGCAGAUGGAGGGCCGUAGCGAUACUGACGUGCAAAUCGUUCGUCAAAUCUGGGUAUAGGGGCGAAAGACUAAUCGAACCAUCUAGUAGCUGGUUCCCUCCGAAGUUUCCCUCAGGAUAGCUUGAACGCCGACGGUUUUGU
This 787-nucleotide ribosomal RNA is filed under the name Haptophyta environmental samples. Its description in RNAcentral is "eukaryotic LSU rRNA". It matches the Rfam family "Eukaryotic large subunit ribosomal RNA", at positions 134 to 1004 of the family's 3401-position model. The record is from RNAcentral. Lineage: Eukaryota; Haptophyta.